UGAAUACGAGACGCUACGGCGUUGAAGCAGUCUAUGUCAUACUUCCAAGAAAAGCUCGCAAUGUCUUAAACAAAUAAUGCCUGUACCAUAACCGACACAGGUGGGUAGGUAGAGUAUACUAAGGGGCGCGAGAUAACUCUCUCUAAGGAACUCGGCAAAAUGACUCCGUAACUUCGGGAGAAGGAGUGCCUUAUUUAUAAGGUUGCAAUAACAAGAUCCAAGCAACUGUUUAUCAAAAACACAGGUCUCCGCUAAGUCGUAAGACGAUGUAUGGGGGCUGACGCCUGCCCAGUGCCAGAAGGUUAAAGAAGUUGGUUAGCAUUCGCGAAGCUGAUGACUGAAGCCCUGGUGAACGGCGGCCGUAACAAUAACGGUCCUAAGGUAGCGAAAUUCCUUGUCGGGUAAGUUCCGACCCGCACGAAAGGCGUAAUGAUUUGGAUACUGUCUCGGAGAGGGGCUCGGUGAAAUAGACUUGUCUGUGAAGAUGCGGACUACCUGCGCCUGGACAGAAAGACCCUAUGAAGCUUUACUGUAACUUGAAAUUGAAAUUGGACUUUAUUUGCGCAGCAUAGGUGGGAGGCGUUGAGAAUAUUCUUGCGGGAAUGUUGGAGCCAUCAGUGAGAUACCACUCUUGUAAUGUUAGAUUUCUAACUUUGUAUCAUGAUCUGGUCAAAGAACAGUUUCAGGCGGGCAGUUUGACUGGGGCGGUCGCCUCCCAAACGGUAACGGAGGCGUACAAAGGUUUCCUCUGAACGGGUAGAAAUCGUAUCUAGAGUGUAAAGGCAUAAGGAAGCUUGACUGUGAGACCUACAAGUCGAGCAGGGACGAAAGUCGGUCUUAGUGAUCUGACGGUGCUGAGUGGAAAGGCCGUCACUCAACGGAUAAAAGUUACUCUAGGAUAACAGGCUGAUCUCCCCCAAGAGUUCUCAUCGACGGGGAGGUUUGGCACCUCGAUGUCGGCUCAUCGCAUCCUGGGGCGGUAGUACGUCCCAAGGGUUGGGCUGUUCGCCCAUGAAAGCGGUACGCGAGCUGGGUUCAGAACGUCGUGAGACAGUUCGGUCCAUAUCCGGUGUAGGCGUUAGAAUAUUGAGAGGAGCCUUCUUUAGUACGAGAGGACCGAGAAGGACAUACCUCUGGUGUACCAGUUAUCGUGCCAACGGUAAACGCUGGGUAGCUAUGUAUGGAGUGGAUAACCGCUGAAAGCAUCUAAGUGGGAAACCCACCUCAAGAUAAG
This 1234-nucleotide ribosomal RNA is filed under the name metagenome. Its description in RNAcentral is "bacterial LSU rRNA". It matches the Rfam family "Bacterial large subunit ribosomal RNA", at positions 1564 to 2808 of the family's 2925-position model. The record is from RNAcentral.